UGCUCCCUGGGAUACGCGUUAGCUGGCAAUGUCCCUGUGCCGAUAUCUACAAACCCAGGGUGAACGUUUUACUGACAUUGUGCAAGCUCGGCUCGUAUCGAGAAGCCUUAGGAGGUAUUCGUUUACCCGCCUUGAACUUACGGUUCAAAGGUCUACGUCGGCGACGGUAUUCUGGGGAGCAA
RNAcentral lists this non-coding RNA (182 nucleotides) under Shewanella sp. KX20019. RNAcentral describes it as "6S RNA". It matches the Rfam family "6S / SsrS RNA". Rfam says of the family: E. coli 6S RNA was the first non coding RNA to be sequenced, but its function was unknown until recently. It consists of 184 nucleotides that fold into an extended hairpin structure with a large single-stranded internal bulge. The record is from RNAcentral. Lineage: Bacteria; Pseudomonadati; Pseudomonadota; Gammaproteobacteria; Alteromonadales; Shewanellaceae.